AAAACUUACUUUACCUGGCAGUUAUACUUCACUCUGAAAUUACCUGAGGAAUAAGUCCCUCCUAAAAGAUUGUAUAUUAAAUGUAGAUGGUUUUGGGUUGGUGAAAGUGGCAUACCAGGGUUUCCAGCAACAGUUAUUUAUCUGCCAUUUGGGAGAGAGGGGGAUGCUUGUCAAGCAAAUAGUUGUUGCAUAAUAACUGAUUUUUGGCCAGUCAUGGUGGCUCACUUCUGUAGUCCGUGCAAUUUGGGAGGCUAAGGUAGGUGGAUUACUUGAGCCCAGGAGUUCGAAACCAGCCUGGGCAAUGUAGUGAAAUCCCAUCUCUACAAAAAGUACAAAAAAUAACCUGGCAUAGAGGUGCAUGCCUGUGGCCCCAGCUACUUGGGAGACUGAGGCGGGAGGAUCAUUUGAGCCUGGGAGAUCAAGGCUCCAGUGAGCUGUGAUCAUGCCACUGCAUUCCAGCCUGGGUAGCAGAGUAAGAACCUGUCUCAAGAAAUUCAAAAAACUGAUUUUCUCAUAUCUCUUUGACAGUGGACCAUGCACAUAAUAAGCAGAAAGAGGAAUAAAAAGGGAUCUUGGCUUUAAAGAUCAGUUAUGUCCAGCCUCCCAAAACUACACUGGUCAGUACCACCAGAGUACUCAGAGAGUUGCUGUUUUUGCUGAAAUGGUGAUUAUAAUUAUCUGGCAGAUUUUCAGGUAUACCAAUGGCAUGACCUAACCAUCAGCCUGUAUUAUUACAUAACCAGUCUGUAUUAUUGCUUACCAGGGCAGGUCAUGCUGUUGACCGAUUCUAGCUCCCAGGCCAGUAUUAAUUUGCUAUUGGUGGAAGAAAAGGAAUGAAAAUAUUCUUGAAAAUCAGUAUGUCAAAGAAUAUAACCCAGACGAAUGGAGCCAAAAAAAAAAAAAAAAAAAAAAAAAACAAAAAAAAAAACCAAGACAAAACAUAGCUGAGUUUACUUAUUUGCCAGAUAUUCAGAUAGUCACGUUCAUUGGAAUAGUAGAUUGAAGCCUUAACUUCAUCCAUCUGGAACAGCUAAUACACCGUGGAACUUCAGUGCUACAUUGGCUUACUUUAACUACAUUGAGG
Molecule: long non-coding RNA, 1084 nt
Filed under: Piliocolobus tephrosceles (Ugandan red Colobus)
Lineage: Eukaryota; Metazoa; Chordata; Mammalia; Primates; Cercopithecidae
Description: lncRNA (ENSPTEG00000024393.1)
Source: RNAcentral